This 79-nucleotide non-coding RNA is filed under the name Kytococcus sp. HMSC28H12. Its description in RNAcentral is "ZMP/ZTP riboswitch aptamer (pfl RNA motif)". It matches the Rfam family "ZMP/ZTP riboswitch aptamer (pfl RNA motif)". From Rfam's summary of the family: Previously known as pfl RNA. ZMP is also known as AICAR. RNAcentral also lists the same sequence under 1 other name. The record is from Rfam by way of RNAcentral. Lineage: Bacteria; Bacillati; Actinomycetota; Actinomycetes; Micrococcales; Kytococcaceae.
CUGGGGCCACACGACUGGCGCAGGUGGGCCACCACCGGGAAGUGACGAUUCGAGGGCAUCGCCCGCCUGGGUGCCCCGG